Molecule: ribosomal RNA, 381 nt
Filed under: Wolbachia endosymbiont of Maculinea nausithous
Lineage: Bacteria; Pseudomonadati; Pseudomonadota; Alphaproteobacteria; Rickettsiales; Anaplasmataceae
Description: bacterial SSU rRNA
Rfam family: Bacterial small subunit ribosomal RNA
Source: RNAcentral
GUGUUGCAUGGCUGUCGUCAGCUCGUGUCGUGAGAUGUUGGGUUAAGUCCCGCAACGAGCGCAACCCUCAUCCUUAGUUACCAUCAGGUAAUGCUGGGGACUUUAAGGAAACUGCUAGUGAUAAACUGGAGGAAGGUGGGGAUGAUGUCAAGUCAUCAUGGCCCUUAUGAAGUGGGCUACACACGUGCUACAAUGGUGGCUACAAUGGGCUGCAAAGUCGCGAGGCUAAGCUAAUCCCUUAAAAGCCAUCUCAGUUCGAAUUGCACUCUGCAACUCGAGUGCAUGAAGUUGGAAUCGCUAGUAAUCGUGGAUCAGCAUGCCACGGUGAAUACGUUAUCGGGUCUUGUACACACUGCCCGUCACGCCAUGGGAAUUGGUUUC